GUCCACCUUUCAGCAGUUAAGAAUAAUGCUGCCGUGAACAUGGGUGUUCAAAUACCUCUUCAGGAUCCUGCUUCUAACUCUUUUGGGCAUAUACCCAGGGCAUGUGCUAUAUACUGUCUCAUCUUUGGAGGGGGUGGGUGUGGCCUGGUUUCUGAAUCAGAGGGUAUGAGGAGGUUGGAGGGGAUUGGCUGUGUGACCUUGGGCAGGACACUUUCCCUCUCUGACAGCAGAUCACAUUUCCAAACAGGGACUUCUGUUAACCAGACACAUGCCCAAGCCCAUUUUCCUGGGAAAUUCUAAUUCAAUGCCUGUCCUGGGACCCAGGAAUUUGGAAUUUUUUGAAGAGCCUCAGGUGAUUUUUAUCAUCAAACAGGUUUGGGAAUCACAUGGCCGGAGAAUUUCUAAAGACCCUUGCAGCUGUGACAUAUGACUUCAGUGAUUAAGAGACUAACCUGGAGUCUGACUGAUUUCAGUUAAAUUCCUGGUUGCCAGUCACCAGCACCACCUCAGUUUCAUCCCGUAAAGGAGGGUAAUGGCGCCUACCCCAGGACUCCUGCAUGAAUCGUCCGCUCCUUCAGCCUGACUGUUCUUCUCGCAGUGGGUGGGUUCCUGUCGCCUCCUGGUGCAAACUUCCCAUAAACGAUCUGGGCCCAGGCGUUCCACUUGCCCCAGGUUCAUAGGUGCACCGGGGGAUGACCGUGCCACGUGACAGCCCCAGCCUGGAGCAGGAGACCUGGUUCUACCACUGAGAGUUACUCAUCACACACCGUGGGCCCUGGAGAGACAGCUGUGAACAGAAUAGACAAAGUCCCUGGCCUCAGGGAGUUUUUCUUCAUAGCUCCUGUGACAUCAUUCAGAGACGUGUGGGGAACUACCCAGUGGGGAGAUAGUAUCCUCAUUUCUCGAAGGCCUCUUGGAGACGGUGCUGGGCUGAGUGGUUCUCAGAGUCAGGUGGGCAUGUGAAUUCCCAGAGGCUAUGCUAGAAUGCUGAAGGCUGGGCCCCAGCCCAGAGCUGCUGAUAGUCAGAGGUGAGGUCUGUGCAUCCAUGCUUCUAACGUGUUCCCCAGUAAUGCCGAGGGAACCAUUACUGUUCCCCAGUAAUGCUGCUGGUCCAGGGAACCUGCUUUGACAAUCACUGCUUUACUGCAAGGAAUAAUUUCAAGCAUUUCAUAAACCCCAGUAAUAUUAUUUGUCAUGUUCUCCUUUUCUAGAGGAGACAUCAGUGCCCCAGUUUUAUUCUCUGUGCCUCCCAAUAACCUCAUCUCACAGCCUGUGCAUUCCAUGAGGAAAAAACCAAGCUGGAACACCAUUUUCAGCUCCUUCGGCCAGCGCCCAACAGUCACUAGGGCUUCCUUCAGCCCAGGCUCUGAGCUCAAACAGCUGACCUGAAUCCUGCUCACUCCCGCCUGUCCUCCUGUGAGACCCUGGACAGUGGCUUAACCUUCCUUAGCCUCUGUUUCCUUAUCCAAGAAGCAAGGCUAAGACUAGGACCCUGGGGACUUCCCUGGUGGUCCAGUGGCUAAGACGCCAAGCUCCCAAUGCAUGGGCCUGGGUUUGAUGCCUGGUCAGGGAACUAGACCCCACACGCCGCAACUAAGAGUUCACAUGCCACAGCUGAGAACCGAUGCAGCCAAAAAAAAAGACUAAGACCCUGGCACUGCAAGGCUAGAGCUCACUGAGAGAAACUCCCUUCUAGAACAGUCUGCCAGGGGCUAUGUGACAUCAAUAGCACCCUGAUGGAUAAAAGAAGCCCCAUUCUUCAACAAAAUAAAGCUGACAAAAAUCGGCCAUUUCAAAGCUAAGACCUAUUUUCUAUUUUCCAAGAGCCUGAACACCGGAGGCAGCUGGAGUUUCCCGGUUUCUGAAAAGCCCACCUGAAUGGAUCCUUUCACGAUACAAAUGUAUUUUGCCAGAUUGAGAAACUGAAGCUCAGGGCAAUAGGCUCUAAGCAAGGGGGAUAACUUCCCCAAGGUCACCCCGCUGGGACAUGGAAAAGCAGGACGCAUGGGUCUGUUUCUGGGUAAAAUCUCCAGCUCUUAACCACUGCUUCAGACUUUCUCCAAAAUCCCCUCUUUUCUCCUUUGCACCACACAGGCUGAGCCAGGGAGGGCUGGGUUCGAGUCUCUAGGACUGGGCCCUACUUUCCUUAUACAUAAAGCACCACACAGCUGACCUUGAUAAGACAUCGGUUCUAUGCCAGGCACUGCACUAAGCACCGAACGUGGAUCAAUCCAUUUGCUUUUCACAACUUCCAUAAAGUCAGAUACAGUUAUUGUCACCACUUUACUGUCUAGAAAAUGGAGAGGUGAACUCAUGUGCUCACCUGCCUUUCAAAGUUUCCACAGGGACUAGAGAUAACACAAGUGAAUACCGCACACCUAGCAGGCACUCGUCCAUGGAAU
Molecule: long non-coding RNA, 2402 nt
Organism: Bos taurus (domestic cattle)
Lineage: Eukaryota; Metazoa; Chordata; Mammalia; Artiodactyla; Bovidae
Source: Ensembl